This 447-nucleotide ribosomal RNA is filed under the name uncultured bacterium. RNAcentral describes it as "bacterial SSU rRNA". It matches the Rfam family "Bacterial small subunit ribosomal RNA", at positions 335 to 803 of the family's 1533-position model. The record is from RNAcentral.
ACUCCUACGGGAGGCAGCAGUGGGGAAUCUUGGACAAUGGGGGCGAACCCUGAUCCAGCCAUGCCGCGUGAGUGAUGAAGGCCUUAGGGUCGUAAAGCUCUUUCGCCUGUGAAGAUAAUGACGGUAGCAGGUAAAGAAACCCCGGCUAACUCCGUGCCAGCAGCCGCGGUAAUACGGGAGGGGUUAGCGUUGUUCGGAAUUACUGGGCGUAAAGCGCACGUAGGCGGAUCGGAAAGUUGGGGUGAAAUCCCGGGGCUCAACCCCGGAACUGCCUCCAAAACUAUCGGUCUAGAGUUCGAGAGAGGUGAGUGGAAUUCCGAGUGUAGAGGUGAAAUUCGUAGAUAUUCGGAGGAACACCAGUGGCGAAGGCGGCUCACUGGCUCGAUACUGACGCUGAGGUGCGAAAGUGUGGGAGCAAACAGGAUUAGAUACCCUGGUAGCGACUGA